CAAAAAUGAUGCUAUAAAAAGUAAACCGCAAUUUGCAUUAUGAAGAGUGAUUUACCUGUUAUGUUACCGAUACACAAACUCGUUCAUAACUUUCCUAUAGUCAUUUUACAAGGUUAAGAAGGCUUUAUUCAACGUCCGUUUCAAUAUCCCUGCAAACGACAUUUGAAAAUGACAAAAUCAAUUGGAAUAAUAAAUGGAGUAUUUGUGAAUUGCACAGGCAGACCUACCGUACACUGAAAUAUGCUUUUGUUAUGUACACAAUUACUAAGGCUGAUAUUUACAGAUUAAAAAUAAGAUACGUUAUAUCAAGAUAACAGUCGGUAGACGAUUUAAACGCGCAUCUUCUUAAUAUUAGUUGUGAAUAGAUACGAGAAUGAAAUUUUUUUUACACACUAGUAUUCGACCAUUUUGAAAAAUAUUUAGUCAAUUCAUCGCAAAAUGUGGAUCAAAAAAGGGAAUGCAACCACAGAAUACACCUUAGACCGCUUUAAUGAUAAGAAUCACUGAAUAACCUAGAAACCCGAAUGAUGCUCAAUGGAAAAUAAACAAAAAGGGAUCUGUAAGAUAACACACACCUUUCCACAUACGCUUGACAACGAAAUUUCAUCCAAGACCAAU
Schizosaccharomyces pombe (fission yeast) is the source of this 618-nucleotide non-coding RNA. NCBI's taxonomy places the organism in Eukaryota, Fungi, Ascomycota, Schizosaccharomycetes, Schizosaccharomycetales, Schizosaccharomycetaceae. The record is from the annotation of a GenBank genome assembly.